This 23-nucleotide non-coding RNA is filed under the name Arabidopsis thaliana (thale cress). The record is from RNAcentral. Lineage: Eukaryota; Viridiplantae; Streptophyta; Magnoliopsida; Brassicales; Brassicaceae.
AGAUUGAGAGUGAAAGCCAGAGC